AUGUUACUCACUUCGUCUCAAAAUUCUUGUCUUAAAUUAGUCUAAAUAUAGAUAUAUCUAAUACCAAAACAUGACUUGAUACAUCCAUAUUUAGAUAAAUCUAAGACAAUAAUAUUGGGACGGAGGAAGUACUUU
This is a non-coding RNA of Triticum aestivum (bread wheat), 135 nucleotides long. The record is from Rfam. NCBI's taxonomy places the organism in Eukaryota, Viridiplantae, Streptophyta, Magnoliopsida, Poales, Poaceae.